UUAUGUGAUCGUCUCUCGCAUAUCAAUAAGCGGAGGAAAAGAAACUAACAAGGAUUCCCCUAGUAACGGCGAGUGGAGCGGGAAGAGCUCAAAUUUGAAAUCUUAAAGGGUUUCCCUUUACGAAUUGUAGUUUAAAGAAGUGUUUUCUGUUGAGGUUUUGGUAAAAGUUCUUUGGAAUAGGACAUCAUAGAGGGUGAGAAUCCCGUAUUUGACCUUUACUUUCAACUUUGUGAUACACUUUCAAAGAGUCGGAUUGUUUGGGAAUGCAGUCCAAAAUGGGUGGUAAAUUUCAUCUAAAGCUAAAUAUUGGCGAGAGACCGAUAGCGAACAAGUACCGUGAGGGAAAGAUGAAAAGAACUUUGAAAAGAGAGUUAAACAGUACGUGAAAUUGUCAAAAGGGAAGCGUUUGACACCAGUGUUGUUUUUCUGAAAAUCAAUUAAAGAACUGUUUAUGCUAAGCUGUUUAGACUUUAUCAGCUAUCUGUUUAGUUUUGAGCUUUUCUUUAAUGCACUUUUCAGUUAACAAGUCAACAUCAAUUUCUUUUGCUGUAAAAAAGCUUGAGGAAGGUGGCUUGAGAUUCGUCUUAAGUGUUUAUAGCCUCUUGCCUAUGCAGUCGGAGAGAUUGAGGUCUGCAGCGUAGAUCCUUCGGGGCUAAAUGCAUUUGUGCUAAGUUAUAGCAUUUUAUAGACAACUUGUUGACUAUGAUUUGUCUUGUAGCUUACUCGCUUAUGUUAUUUUACCUACGCUUAGGAUGUUGAUCUGUAGUGCGUGCGC
This 775-nucleotide ribosomal RNA is filed under the name uncultured Neocallimastigales. RNAcentral's name for it is "partial large subunit ribosomal RNA". It matches the Rfam family "Eukaryotic large subunit ribosomal RNA", at positions 24 to 647 of the family's 3401-position model. Lineage: Eukaryota; Fungi; Neocallimastigomycota; Neocallimastigomycetes; Neocallimastigales. The record is from RNAcentral.